RNAcentral lists this ribosomal RNA (586 nucleotides) under uncultured bacterium. RNAcentral describes it as "partial 16S ribosomal RNA". It matches the Rfam family "Bacterial small subunit ribosomal RNA", at positions 355 to 1375 of the family's 1533-position model. The record is from RNAcentral.
UGGGGAAUUUUGGACAAUGGGCGAAAGCCUGAUCCAGCAAUGCCGCGUGUGUGAAGAAGGCCUUCGGGUUGUAAAGCACUUUUGUCCGGAAAGAAAUCCUUGGCUCUAAUACAGUCGGGGGAUGACGGUACCGGAAGAAUAAGCACCGGCUAACUACGUGCCAGCAGCCGCGGUAAUACGUAGGGUGCAAGCGUUAAUCGGAAUUACUGGGCGUAAAGCGUGCGCGGGCGGUUUGCUAAGACUGAUGUGAAAUCCCCGGGCUCAACCUGGGAACUGCAUUGGUGACUGGCAGGCUAGAGUAUGGCAGAGGGGGGUAGAAUUCCACGUGUAGCAGUGAAAUGCGUAGAGAUGUGGAGGAAUACCGAUGGCGAAGGCAGCCCCCUGGGCCAAUACUGACGCUCAUGCACGAAAGCGUGGGGAGCAAACAGGAUUAGAUACCCCUGGUAGUCCACGCCCUAAACGAUGUCAACUAGUUGUUGGGGAUUCAUUUCCUUAGUAACGUAGCUAACGCGUGAAGUUGACCGCCUGGGGAGUACGGUCGCAAGAUUAAAACUUAAAUGAAUUGACGGGGUCAUAGCUGUUUCCU